AGAUUGAACGCUGGCGGCAGGCCUAACACAUGCAAGUCGAGCGGUAGAGAGGUGCUUGCAUCUCUUGAGAGCGGCGGACGGGUGAGUAAUGCCUAGGAAUCUGCCUAGUGGUGGGGGAUAACGUUCGGAAACGGACGCUAAUACCGCAUACGUCCUACGGGAGAAAGCGGGGGACCUUCGGGCCUCGCGCCAUUAGAUGAGCCUAGGUCGGAUUAGCUAGUUGGUGAGGUAAUGGCUCACCAAGGCGACGAUCCGUAACUGGUCUGAGAGGAUGAUCAGUCACACUGGAACUGAGACACGGUCCAGACUCCUACGGGAGGCAGCAGUGGGGAAUAGUUGGACAAGUGGGACGAAAGCCUGAUCCAGCCAUGCCGCGUGUGUGAAGUAGGUCUUCGGAUUGAAAGCUACGUUUAAGGUGGAAGGUAGGUUGUAAACCUAAGUACGUUGACUAACGUUUGAACGUUACCGACAAGUAAUAAGCUACCGGCUAACGUUCGUGACCAGCA
This 506-nucleotide ribosomal RNA is filed under the name uncultured soil bacterium. Its description in RNAcentral is "bacterial SSU rRNA". It matches the Rfam family "Bacterial small subunit ribosomal RNA", at positions 26 to 513 of the family's 1533-position model. The record is from RNAcentral.